Molecule: ribosomal RNA, 253 nt
Filed under: uncultured bacterium
Lineage: Bacteria
Also listed under: 1 other name
Description: partial 16S ribosomal RNA
Rfam family: Bacterial small subunit ribosomal RNA
Source: RNAcentral
UACGAAGGGGGCUAGCGUUGUUCGGAAUUACUGGGCGUAAAGCGUACGUAGGCGGAUUGUUAAGUGAGGGGUGAAAUCCCGAGGCUCAACCUCGGAACUGCCUUUCAUACUGGCAAUCUUGAGUCCGGGAGAGGUGAGUGGAACUCCUAGUGUAGAGGUGAAAUUCGUAGAUAUUAGGAAGAACACCAGUGGCGAAGGCGGCUCACUGGCCCGGAACUGACGCUGAGGUACGAAAGCGUGGGGAGCAAACAGG